GUCUACGGCCAUACCACCCUGAACGCGCCCCAUCUCGUCUGAUCUCGAAAACUAAGCAGGGUUGGGCCUGGUUAGUACUUGGAUGGGAGAAAUCAGUGUAUGUGACA
RNAcentral lists this ribosomal RNA (107 nucleotides) under Prolemur simus (greater bamboo lemur). Lineage: Eukaryota; Metazoa; Chordata; Mammalia; Primates; Lemuridae. The record is from RNAcentral.